ACAAGUUCAAGAGAAAUGCAAAGGAUGCCAUCACUAUAAUUCAACUGUACUGAUAAUGGAACAAACAAUUUAUUGAAAAACAAAAAUGUUACAUUUUAGAUUAACAUUUGUCGUAGUUUUGAAUACAGAGCAAAGGUGCAGGAACUUACAAGACACUUUUGAACAUUAUAUUAUUGAUGGGGCCACAAUCUCCACUCUCAACCACAUUUGCAAACUUCCAACUUCAUGAACUUGCAAGUGUUCAUCUUUGUUUUUUUUUGACAGAAAGACUGUAAAGGAACCCCUACAGUAUAAUUGGUGCAACAAACCCAAAUUGCAAGUACCAUGCCUUGAACCUGGGUGGGUGGGAAGGCAUCAGCCCCUUCCCACCACUAGGCUAUGCCUUAGUCUGCGUGUUCAUCUUUGUUGCUGCCAUAGGCCAUUCUUCUUUUCCUACAUAAGAGAAGAUGCUCUUCUAACAAACAACCAACACUCAAAACUCGGACAAAACUCGAUAUAGCAAAUAAUUGAAAUACUAAGGUGAUAAAACUAGAACUAGAUCAUCUCAAUUGGCAGCAUACAGGAACAUACAUCACACUAACUGAACAAGCAAGGGGUUCAAGAAAUCAGCGAGGGAAGAGGUGAGAUAAUGGAGUACAGAACAUAAAUUUGGCUUCUGGAGCUUGGUGUUGCAGCAGUCUAAGACGUGGCUUUGAAGAUGGAGAAGAACAGGAACAUGUAGAUGCAAGAGACGAUCAGCAGCGGGUGUUGACAGAGUUCAGCAGCAAGCUGUCAUUGGGGAAGAGCAGCGUCGUCAUUGGAGAGGAGGUAGAAAGUUUAAAUUGUGCUGCAAAAAGGCUCUAAAUACUAAAUGAAUAAAUGUUCUAUCAAUUAUCUACAAGGAAAGAAAACAUGUACGAGAACAAAUAAUCAUUCUCAGGUGGUUAGUCAAAAUAUACAUGAAAGACACCUUCUAUUCUGUUCUCAGGUGGUUAGGGAUAGCAAUAUAUGGACAAGGAUGCCGCCAAACACACCAAGCAUGAUUUAUUGAACAUGUGCCCAUAUGGUUACCCACAGAAGAGUUGACACAUGAUAACAAUAUAUGGAAAAAUAAAGCAUUGUGUACCUUCCUGCUUACAAGCAGCAAUCCCUCCCCAUGGUCAUCCUUCCAUAGUUACUUGACCUCCAAAAAGAUAGAUCCAUAGUUACUUGACCUCCAAAAAGACAGAUCUGAGAACACAAAUUACAUUAGUGAUCCAUAAUCCACCAUAUUAUAUAGAAGCAUAAUUUCUAACUCAUUCUGCAGGGCCAUACAUCUUUCCCUACAUAAGGGAACAUGUUUUUUCAACAAACUACCCAUACUGGGAGGUCAAAUGAAACUGAAUGCAACUUACCAACACGCUUUUGGUCUGAAUAAAUGAUCAUGAGCCACUGCAGAAACAUAGCGAAUUUAUCACAAGUACUUUAAGAUUACUCAAUCAACAUCGUUUAAGUACAAAAUGAAAUUGUUAACUAAAAAGGCAAAAUGUACGACUGUACACAGAUUUGAAACUAAUUUUCAAUCGUAAAUAGCAUUUUUUUUCAACAUACAGAAGUUCUUUGCAUGGACAUAAAAUGCACAAAGUUACAUAUUCAGAAUUAAGAAUGAAAUAGAUUUUUUUUGUAGCUGUGCAGCACAUCUAAACUAUUUGACACAACAGCCAGAUUGGGUAGGGAAGAUGAGAAAGAGGGCCUGGACAGGCAGGGAGUCACCUCUGCACAGGGAGGGAGGCGGAUCUGGAAAUCGCCGGCCAGGGAGGCGGAUCUGGACGUCGCCGGCGAGUUGGGGUGGCGCUCGACGGAGAGGGGGGUGGCGCUCGACGGCGAUGUGGGCGGCGCUCGACGGCUAGGGGGGCGGCCGAUCGGAACUGGACGGUCGGUACGGGGGAAGUGGCGGCGCUGGACGGGGGAGGUGGCGGCGGUGGACGGGGGAGUGGGAGGAGUAUCUCGAUGGGGAAAACUGGAUCGGGUUCUAGGUAUUUUGACCAAGCCCUCCAG
Molecule: long non-coding RNA, 2016 nt
Filed under: Triticum aestivum (bread wheat)
Lineage: Eukaryota; Viridiplantae; Streptophyta; Magnoliopsida; Poales; Poaceae
Description: long non-coding RNA (TAES_LNC017389)
Source: RNAcentral